Molecule: small nuclear RNA, 107 nt
Organism: Balaenoptera musculus (blue whale)
Lineage: Eukaryota; Metazoa; Chordata; Mammalia; Artiodactyla; Balaenopteridae
Source: Ensembl
GUGCUCGCUCUGGCAGCACAUAUACGAAGACUGAAACAAUACAGAGAAGAUUACCGUGGUCUCUGCACAAAGAUGACACGCAAAUUCGCGAAGUGUUCCAUAUAUUU